Molecule: non-coding RNA, 38 nt
Organism: Schistosoma curassoni
Lineage: Eukaryota; Metazoa; Platyhelminthes; Trematoda; Strigeidida; Schistosomatidae
Source: Rfam
UGCCGAGGAGUCCCACAAUAGGACGAAACGGCCGUCCA